This 3140-nucleotide long non-coding RNA is filed under the name Canis lupus familiaris (dog). RNAcentral's name for it is "lncRNA (ENSCAFG00000059401.1)". The record is from RNAcentral. Lineage: Eukaryota; Metazoa; Chordata; Mammalia; Carnivora; Canidae.
UAAAGAAUAAUUUUUAAUAAUUUGGAAAGAUGAUAUGAAAGACUAAUUAUAGUGAAAGUAUUCCAUAAUGAAACAAUACAUAUUACAUUUUUGAAGGUAUUAUCUAUGUACAUGUUUCAUGUGUUCCAAAGUUUUUUUCUCAAGGGGUAGAAUUAAGAAUGAUUUUUACUAUCGGCAUACUCAAUUUUUUAAAGUUUCUAUUAUGAUACCAUGUUAUUUGUAUAAAAAUAAAUGUGUAAGGUAGAUAAAAACAAAAAUAGGAACAGUACCCCUGAUAAAAUAUUGGAAAACUACAGAAAUAACUGCAUAACUGCAAUAGCAAGCCUAAACAACUGUCAAGGUUUCCAUUCUCUCACAUUAUUUGUGUACUUAGGGUAAGUUGAUACCAUUUUUGUGGAUAGUCAUUUAAAAAGAAACUCCCCAAAAGAGAAGAAAAAGAUUUCAAACCUUCCAUGUCCUUUGAUCCUAAAUUUGCUCUCACAAAUGUUUGUUCAGAAAAUAAUAUUGAAUGUAAGCAAGGUUUGUGUACUAUGUAUAAUUAGCAGCUAGGGUUUGGAUUAGAAAAACCGAUGUUCACAACCAAAUGUGCAACAAUGAGAAAGCUGUGAAAUAUACCCCCAUAUCUAUAUCUAAACAUGUAUAGAGAUGAAUACCUAUAUCUAUCUAUUCCUCUAUCAAGCCCCACCACUGGAACACUAAAGAGUCACAAAACUAUUAUAAAAGAAUAUUUAAUGACAUGAAAGGAACUUCAAGAAUAUCUAUACAUCUAUAUCUAUCUAUAAUAUAUAUUCAUGUAUGAAAAAGCAGAUAUUGAAACAGUAUAUACAUUAAAAUUCACAUAUAUAUCACAUGAAAAAUACUGGGCAAGUGCAUAUGAAAAUGAUUUAGGAAUGUAGGCGUGUUGAUUAGGAUUGAUUAGUAGGGACAUUAAAUUUCUUCUGUUAACUUGUCUGCUUUGUUAUUUUUGUCUGCAAUGAAGCUGAAUGAUUUUUCUGACAAUGGGGAAAAGGGCAGCAAGUGGGCACAGGGAAAGAGCAUUUACAACCCCAAACAGGGAAGUGCCAUUUGCAGCCCAUCGAGCUGGCCAAGACACGCACAUGCACGCACCCGCGCGUGCACACACAGACGCGCACACACAUCAAUUACAGUGACCAGGAGACUAUGCAGGGGAAAUGGACACACUCGUUUUACUAGCUGUGCUGGCUGGCAUGAACGCAAAUCAGUACAAUGCUUAUGAAGGGGCCAUUUGGCAACACACGGGAAAAGUCUUUAAAAUAUCCUAUUGUGGAUCCUGCAAGUCGACAAUUAAGAAGACCAUCCGGUAGGCUAGCGAAGAUUUGGCUUGACAAGGAAGGAUUCAUUCAUCAGAGUAUGCAAUGUUGGGUUUAAACACAAGGAAAGAACUGGGCACCAACUGAAUGUCCAAUAAUGUGGGAUUGAUUACAGAAAUGUUAAAGAUCCAUCUAUACACUCUGCAGGCACUGAAGAUGACAUUUCUGAAGCCUGUUGAAUAGCAUGGAAAGAAGUUCAAUGGGUUGAUUUUUGUUUGGUUUUAGUUUCUGAAGAAGCAGGUUAAGAAACACCACACAUAGGAACCAUUCUAUAAUGGUGUGUAAAGGGAAGGUGGGGGUGGAGUGAGGAAGGGAGGGAGAGAGAAGAAGAGAAGAGAGCCUGUAAAAACAGCACACCAAGAAGUGGCUGUCUCUGGGUAGUAGGAUCACUGGGAACAAUUACUCUCUUGGCUUUCCCUCAUCUGAUCUCCUUUUCCUUUCUGAUGUUUCCACCAUGAAAUUGUGUCACCUGUGUAGUGAAGGAAGCAAGCAUGAAGGUGCUUUUUAAACCAAACCACAAGGAGAAGAGGCAGCCUGUAAUCUAUCAAGUGGCACAGAUUAGCAAGAUUAUUCGCAACGCCCUUGGUGGGGGGGGGGGGAAUGGGGGAAAGCAGAAGAGAGGAAGAGGGGAGGAGGUGGAGGAGGAAGAGGGUAGGAAAGGUGAGAGGGAGAGAGGGAGAAGGAGAGAGGGAGAGAGAGGAAGGGGGGGAGAGAUCGAGGGAAAGGAAGGAGGGAGGGAGGGUGAGAGGAGAGAGAGAGAUAGAGAGAGAGACAGAGAGAGAGAGAUAAAGAGAGACCUGCACUCCCAGUACAAUACAAUACAUUGCUGGUGGGAGAGAGGGAGAAGGAGAGAGGGAGAGAGAGGAAGGGGGGGAGAGAUCGAGGGAAAGGAAGGAGGGAGGGAGGGUGAGAGAGAGAGAGGAGAGAGAGAGAGAGAGAGAGAGAGAGAGAGAGAGAGAGAGAGAUAAAGAGAGACCUGCACUCCCAGUACAAUACAAUACACUGCUGGUGGGUUAGAGGGGCAAAGAGGGUGGUUGUAAACCGGGUGGGAGCCAAGGUUUGGCUCUGCUGGCUGGCUCGUCCCUGGCAUGUCUUCAUCGCAAGGUGGCCUCCUCAUCCGUGUCUUCCUCGAAAUCUUUGACGUCAGCACUGGUGGACUGCCUGGCCCAGGCUCCCCUUUCGGCCUCUCGUUCUUUAUGCGACUUGAAUCUCCCAACGAAAAUUUUGCGGUAGUUCAGGAACAUGCCAUUCAUCGCAUCAAUGGCUCGCUCUGCGGACUCCUGCUUCUGGAAGUGCACAAACCCGUAGCCCUUGGGCCCCUUUUCGUCGCAGGCCACUUUGCAGGACAGGAUGUUGCCAAACGCCGAGAAGAUGUUGUACAGCGCCUUGUUGUCGAUGGUCUUGCCCAGGUUCUUGAUGAAGACGUUGCCCACCCCACUCUUGCGGAGCGAGGGGUCCCGCUGGGACCACAUGAUGCGCACGGGCCUGCCCUUGAUCACAUCAAAGUUCAGGGUUUCCAGGGCCCGCUUGGCAUCCACCGGUUGCUGGUAGUUGACGUACGCGUAGCCCAACGAGCGGCGGGUGAUCUUGUCCCUGCAAAUGCGGAUGGACAGGAUGGGCCCGGCCGGGCUGAACUUCUCAUACAGCAUUGCCUCUGUCACUUCAGGAUGCAGGUCGCCCACGUACAGCGAGGCCAUAGGAAAGUCUGGGUUGCCUUCGGAGCCCCGGCUGGUCUCCGCAUCCACAUCUGCAGCCGCCGCUGCCGCCGCCGCCGCCGCAGCCGCCGCUGCCGCCGCCGCCGCCGCAGCC